Molecule: long non-coding RNA, 4211 nt
Filed under: Brassica napus (rape)
Lineage: Eukaryota; Viridiplantae; Streptophyta; Magnoliopsida; Brassicales; Brassicaceae
Description: long non-coding RNA (BNAP_LNC015219)
Source: RNAcentral
AGAAAGAAAUGGAGCCAAAGGAGGAGUUGGGUUGAGUUUGGGUCUUGAGCAAGAAUAGGGACAAGAUCUUAAGAGAUUGUCUAUCAAGGCUUCAUGAAGGUUUAGAGAAGUCUAGAAGUGUCAUGAAGGCUGUGCAAAGAUAGGGUUUGAGUCCAGGAGGGACUUAGACACCAUUUGGAGACAGAUGGGUGAUGGUGCAAAGAUAGGGCGACCAGAUGAUCAGACGGUACGGACGGUACAAAACUGGACGGGCCGGGCAAUCUUAGGGCGACCCAAACCGAGUCAGGUCUAACCAUUGGAGAUGUUUGGGUGAGAUGUGCAAAAAUAGGGCGAGGUACGGACAGGCGGUACGUACCAUCAACCGUACUUCACCCAGGAUCGACCAGAAGUUGUGCAAACUUAGGGCGUCGGUUUAGAGAGCGAUUAGGCGACCUUGUCUGAUUGUAAUCAGACUGUUUGUGGAUAAGGAAGAGAGAGGACGUGGUCAACAAGGACAGGCUGUCAAGAGGUGUAAAAGGAAAGCAAAGGGGACCAUGUAUCUAGCUAAAGAAGUGGGAAGGUUCAUGGGAGCCUUUGAGGAACCAAUCAGAAGCCUGCCCUUGCCUUGACCAGUUUGAAUGGACCAAUCACCAGCCAGCCUUCCUUAACCAAUCAGAAGCCAUCACCAAGAUUGCAAAGACCAAAACAAGACUACAUCCAAGCCAUCCAUUUCACAAGUCAUUUCUAGCCAUUAGAUUAAGGGUUUCUAAUGUUUCAAAGUGUAAAGCUUAUAAAAGCAUGUGUAUGGACGAAAAUUAAAGCUCUUAAGAGAGUAUGGGGGAUUUCCCCAUCUCCUUCAUAUUAUAAAGUAUGUUCUUGAUCAGAUUCUCUUAAUCUCUCCCUUUCUUAGUCUCUAAUCUCUUAAUCUCUCAAAGUCUCUUUGUUUCUGAUCUAAGUUCAUACUAGUUCAUCAGAUUCUUUCUUCACCAUUUCAAGACUCUAUUCUGCCCUAAGAGGCUUGUUCUUCACACACACAUCCUAGACUCUUAAAUCUCAUAUGGUAUCAGAGCCAGGUUCAUUAGAACUUGGUUCAAGCUUCCGCUAAGCUCAAGGCUUCUCCCAUGUCAUUUCCAAACCAAGAAGAAGCUUCAUGUUCAGCCUGCUGUAAAACCUCUCCAAGAAGAAGGUGGGCUCAUACAUGGCGUCCAGUAGCUGUCUCUGGUUGUUCUCCACGUUCUCAUGUCCACCCUUGAAGAAAGAAGGCCUUGGAAGCAAAGGUUAUGAAGUGGUCUAGCUAGCCUCUUCAACAAACCAGAUCCAGGCGAGUCUCAUGGUGAUUCUCAUGAAGAAAGGUGGUCUCUUUGACAUGGUGGGUUCAAGAGGAAGGUCCAUGGAAGCAGGAGAUGUUGGGGUCGACACCAACAGCUCAGAUCUUGCCAUGUACUAAGGAGUUUCAAGGAACUAACACUAGUUCCUUGGCUGUAAGGAAAUCUCUUUCUCUUGUAUAAAGCUUGAGUAUUUGAACUGAAAAUUAUAUUAAACUGAUUGUGAUGUGGUGUUGUGAUUGAAAACUUGAGGAUAUAUUAAAGAUUGCUAAAUAAAAUGAAAUGAAUUUAGAAUCUGUCCCAUAAUGCUUAAAAAGUCUUGUUUGGUGGUUGAAAAGUUUAAAAAUGCUUAACCCUGAUUCUAGUGAGGCUUGUUAGGGAGUUAGAAGUUGUCUAAACCUGAUUGCUUUCAUGAAAUGAGAUCACCUAAGGUUAUGCAUUGGGUCUGAUAUUGGUUGUUGAUAGUAGUGCUUAACUAAGGUUCAUAGUGAUGCUUGUUGUGAUUGCUUAAAUCUGCUUGCAUACAUGGAUUGAAACCGUUUUAAAGUUAUUGCAUACUGUCUUGUGGCUGUCUUACAUUGAAGCAUUAGAUUCAUGUCUAAAUUGCUGAGUAAAGAAGCUUUAAAAAUUGCCUAAGUAGCUUGUAUUGAAUCUGUUAAGAUCAUGCUUGUGCUUAGAGAGUUUGCUUGCAAAGAUUAGAACUUGAAAAUGACUUGUUUAAUCUGUUGCAAUGCUUGUGAUAUUGGGAAUCAAACUUGAUGAUUAAUCAAGGAUUGAUCCCAAUACUAUUGUGUCUUAUCUUUGCUGGAGUUUGAGUGAUGUUUCAGGUUCACAAGAAGUGUUCUUUGCUCACCAUCCAUCCGAGUAUAAGAGGAAGACUUGUUGCCCAUUGUGUGUGCAAUGGAGAGUGGUUACUAGUGUGAUAUGGCGCCACUGGUGUGAAGUCUCACUGAAGCUCACUUCAAGCUUGAACCUAGAUUAGGCCAAGCUUGAGGAGGGGAGUUGAGUGAGCUUCCUAGGCAAUCCAAGAAGUCCAUUGCAAGCACCUGAAGAAGGAGCCAUCCGGGUUUAGGCUGUGGCGAGUCUAUUCAAGAGAGUACUCAAACUAAGACAGAGUACUCUUGGCUGUGAGAAGAUUAAGGCUACUCUAUCAAGGCGGCUUCUAGUGUGAGGUGGUUGAAGAGAUAGCUGAGGCUUCCACAAGCAUUCCAUUCAAGAUGGCGAGUUCAAGAAGAGGCUGCAAUGGUGUGUGUGUGUUGAUCAUGAAGCCAUCCGUUCAAGCUUGUUCCUGUGAGAGUCUCAAGCUUGAGGGGGAGUGUUGAAGCUUACAUGAUCAGAAUGAGCUUGGUGGUUAUUCUAGAAGAGGAAGCAACCUGUUGGGAAGUAUGAUGAAGGAUGAAGAAGCAAUGUCCAAGGCGGCUUCAAGUGUUGAGGUGAUUGGAGAGUGGCUGAAACAUCCUCAUGUAGUUCCAGCAACAAGGUGGCGACUCUAGAAGAAGAAGAAGCAGCCAAGACUCAGCAAGAGUGUUGUAUCUCCAAGAAGAGGCUGAUAUGGUGUGUCCGAGCACUUCAACCUAACAAGAGAUUAGGUGAAAGGGGGAGAGACCAAGAUCAGGCAGUAAGGAGAGUACAAGGCGUGGGGAGAAUGAAGAGGCCAUGAUCCAGAGUCUUUGUGUCCCUUACAUUGUUGGUAAGGCACAAAGACUCACUGGCCAAUCCCUAGGCCAUGGAGACUUUACUCUUUUUCCCUCAUCAAGGUUUUGUCCCAAAGGGUUUUCCUUGGUGAGGUUUUUAAUGAGGAAGUUCUUCAAGGUUCCAAGCUUGACUUAGGAUCAGCUAAAGUCAAGCUUGAGGGGGAGUGUUGACUUGAAGAAAGAAAUGGAGACAAAGGAGGAGUUGGGUUGAGUUUGGGUCUUGAGCAAGAAUAGGGACAAGAUCUUAAGAGAUUGUCUAUCAAGGCUUCAUGAAGGUUUAGAGAAGUCUAGAAGUGUCAUGAAGGCUGUGCAAAGAUAGGGUUUGAGUCCAGGAGGGACUUAGACACCAUUUGGAGAUAGUUGGGUGAUGGUGCAAAGAUAGGGCGUCUCGAGGUUCAGACGGUACUGACGGUACGGACAAACCGUGCAAACUUAGGGCGACCCAGAACCUGAUCACACUCAACCAUUGGAGAUGUUUGGGUGAGAUGUGCAAACUUAGGGCGCGGUACGGACAGGCGGUCCGUACCAUCAACCGUACUUCACCCAGGAUCGACCAGAAGUUGUGCAAACUUAGGGCGUCGGUUUAGAGAGCGAUUAGGCGACCUUGUCUGAUUGUAAUCAGACUGUUUGUGGAUAAGGAAGAGAGAGGACGUGGUCAACAAGGACAGGCUGUCAAGAGGUGUAAAGGGAAAGCAAAGGGGACCAUGUAUCUAGCUAAAGAAGUGGGAAGGUUCAUGGGAGCCUUUGAGGAACCAAUCAGAAGCCAGCCCUUGCCUUGACCAGUUUGAAUGGACCAAUCACCAGCCAGCCUUCCUUAACCAAUCAGAAGCCAUCACCAAGAUUGCAAAGACCAAAACAAGACUACAUCCAAGCCAUCCAUUUCACAAGUCAUUUCUAGCCAUUAGAUUAAGGGUUUCUAAUGUUUCAAAGUGUAAAGCUUAUAAAAGCAUGUGUAUGGACGAAAAUUAAAGCUCUUAAGAGAGUAUGGGGGUUUUCCCAUCUCCUUCAUAAUUAUAAAAGUGUGUUCUUGAUCAGAUUCCCUUAAUCUCUCCCUUUCUUAGUCUCUAAUCUCUUAAUCUCUCAAAGUCUCUUUGUUUAUGAUCUAAGUUCAUACUAGUUUCAUCAGAUUCUUUCUUCACCAUUUCAAGACUCUAUUCUGCCCUAAGAGGCUUGUUCUUCACACACACAUCCUAGACUCUUAAAUCUCAUAUGG